GACUCUUGGUGGUGGAUGAUGUGGCCCAUGUGUCUACUAAGAAAGCAGCUAUGUAGGGGUUAUCGUGAAUGGCAGGACACAUUGGUCACUGGAUGUUUGAAUGCACUUGUGGUCCCAACUUCAUCUUGGAGCUAUGCCGGUCUGAGCAUCA
RNAcentral lists this ribosomal RNA (151 nucleotides) under Sphenodon punctatus (tuatara). RNAcentral's name for it is "5.8S ribosomal RNA (ENSSPUG00000016495.1)". It matches the Rfam family "5.8S ribosomal RNA". Rfam says of the family: 5.8S ribosomal RNA (5.8S rRNA) is a component of the large subunit of the eukaryotic ribosome. Lineage: Eukaryota; Metazoa; Chordata; Lepidosauria; Sphenodontia; Sphenodontidae. The record is from Rfam by way of RNAcentral.